RNAcentral lists this transfer RNA (66 nucleotides) under Mileewa rufivena. RNAcentral's name for it is "tRNA-Val". The record is from RNAcentral. Lineage: Eukaryota; Metazoa; Arthropoda; Insecta; Hemiptera; Cicadellidae.
CAGAUUGUAGCUUAUUAAAAAGUUUAUUAUUUACAUUAAUAUGAAAAAGUUCAAAUUUCUUUCUGA